CCCUUAGACGUUCUGGGCCGCACGCGCGCUACACUGACCAGUGCAACAAGCAUCCGUCCUUGGCCGACAGGCCCGGGCAAUCUUUGAACGCUGGUCGUGAUGGGGAUAGACUUUUGCAAUUUUUGGUCUUCAACGAGGAAUUCCUAGUAAACGCAAGUCAUCAACUUGCAUUGAUUACGUCCCUGCCCUUUGUACACACCGCCCGUCGCACCUACCGAUUGAAUGGUCCGGUGAAGCCUCCGGAUUGGCGCGCACCUCGGCGCCGCCGAGAAGUUGGCUAAACCUUACCAUUUAGAGGAAGGUGAANUCGUAACA
This 315-nucleotide ribosomal RNA is filed under the name uncultured eukaryote. Its description in RNAcentral is "partial 18S ribosomal RNA". It matches the Rfam family "Eukaryotic small subunit ribosomal RNA", at positions 1470 to 1796 of the family's 1831-position model. The record is from RNAcentral.